This 533-nucleotide ribosomal RNA is filed under the name Bifidobacterium pseudocatenulatum. RNAcentral's name for it is "bacterial SSU rRNA". It matches the Rfam family "Bacterial small subunit ribosomal RNA", at positions 166 to 711 of the family's 1533-position model. Lineage: Bacteria; Bacillati; Actinomycetota; Actinomycetes; Bifidobacteriales; Bifidobacteriaceae. The record is from RNAcentral.
AUGCCGGAUGCUCCGACUCCUCGCAUGGGGUGUCGGGAAAGAUUUCAUCGGUAUGGGAUGGGGUCGCGUCCUAUCAGGUAGUCGGCGGGGUAACGGCCCACCGAGCCUACGACGGGUAGCCGGCCUGAGAGGGCGACCGGCCACAUUGGGACUGAGAUACGGCCCAGACUCCUACGGGAGGCAGCAGUGGGGAAUAUUGCACAAUGGGCGCAAGCCUGAUGCAGCGACGCCGCGUGCGGGAUGACGGCCUUCGGGUUGUAAACCGCUUUUGAUCGGGAGCAAGCCUUCGGGUGAGUGUACCUUUCGAAUAAGCACCGGCUAACUACGUGCCAGCAGCCGCGGUAAUACGUAGGGUGCAAGCGUUAUCCGGAAUUAUUGGGCGUAAAGGGCUCGUAGGCGGUUCGUCGCGUCCGGUGUGAAAGUCCAUCGCUUAACGGUGGAUCUGCGCCGGGUACGGGCGGGCUGGAGUGCGGUAGGGGAGACUGGAAUUCCCGGUGUAACGGUGGAAUGUGUAGAUAUCGGGAAGAACACCA